GACGAACGCUGGCGGCGUGCCUAACACAUGCCAGUCGAACGGAAAGGCCCUGCUUUGGUGGGGUGGUCGAGGGGCGAACGGGUGAGUAACACGUGGGUAACCUGUACCUGACUUUGGGAGAACUUCAUGAAACUGGGGCUAAUACCGGAUAGGAGCUCCUGCUGCAUGGUGGGGGUUGGUAAGUUUCGGCGGUUGGGGAUGGACGCGCGGUGUAUCAGCUGGUUGGUAGGGUAGUAGCCUAGCAUGGUUAGGACGGGUAGCCGGCGUGAGAGGCUGACCAGAUAGAGUGGGAGUGAGACACGGCCCAGACUCCUACGGGAGGCAGGAGUGGGGUAUAGCGGACGAUGGACGAAAGCCUGAGCAAGCCAUGCGGCGGGAGUGAUGAAUUCGGGAGGGAUGCAAAGCUCUCUUACCCGGGAUGGUAAUGACAGUAACGGGAUAAAAAGCUACGGCUAACUUCGUG
This 463-nucleotide ribosomal RNA is filed under the name uncultured bacterium. Its description in RNAcentral is "partial 16S ribosomal RNA". It matches the Rfam family "Bacterial small subunit ribosomal RNA", at positions 28 to 507 of the family's 1533-position model. The record is from RNAcentral.